AGUGAACGCUGGCGGUAGGCCUAACACAUGCAAGUCGAACGGCAGCACAGGAGAGCUUGCUCUCUGGGUGGCGAGUGGCGGACGGGUGAGGAAUACAUCGGAAUCUACCUUUUCGUGGGGGAUAACGUAGGGAAACUUACGCUAAUACCGCAUACGACCUACGGGUGAAAGUGGGGGACCGCAAGGCCUCACGCGAUUAGAUGAGCCGAUGUCCGAUUAGCUAGUUGGCGGGGUAAUGGCCCACCAAGGCGACGAUCGGUAGCUGGUCUGAGAGGAUGAUCAGCCACACUGGAACUGAGACACGGUCCAGACUCCUACGGGAGGCAGCAGUGGGGAAUAUUGGACAAUGGGCGCAAGCCUGAUCCAGCCAUACCGCGUGGGUGAAGAAGGCCUUCGGGUUGUAAAGCCCUUUUGUUGGGAAAGAAAUCCUGUCGAUUAAGACUCGGUGGGGAUGACGGUACCCAAAGAAUAAGCACCGGCUAACUUCGU
This 489-nucleotide ribosomal RNA is filed under the name uncultured bacterium. RNAcentral describes it as "partial 16S ribosomal RNA". It matches the Rfam family "Bacterial small subunit ribosomal RNA", at positions 29 to 506 of the family's 1533-position model. The record is from RNAcentral.